RNAcentral lists this long non-coding RNA (781 nucleotides) under Macaca mulatta (Rhesus monkey). RNAcentral describes it as "lncRNA (ENSMMUG00000047409.2)". Lineage: Eukaryota; Metazoa; Chordata; Mammalia; Primates; Cercopithecidae. The record is from RNAcentral.
GUCAGACUCCGGGGCGGUGCGGCAGCGCCAGGCCUGCAGUGCUAAGCGCGGGGUCCCUCGGGGCCCCGAGGGGGUGUGUCUCCUGCCUCUUUAACCUGGCAGGGGCGGUUCAAGUGGCCGGGAAAAUCAGCGAUUUGCAGAGUGGAGGGCUGGUGUUUUGAAAGAGAGGCGGAGGGGAGAGAGGGAUUUCCCCAUCCCCGCUGCACUGGGUCCAUCCCCUCGGUUACUCCUUUUCUCCGCCCGCGAGGCCCGUAACCUGCUGGAACCGUUAUGCAGUAGAGGCGGCCCGGUCCCUUUAAGACCCCGCCGCGCCUGCGCCUUGGGUUCUCCUGACUCCGCCGAGCCUGAUCCUGAGGAGCCAGUCGCGGGCUGGCGCGGGCGCGGGGCUGGCUGGCGGUUGAGACCGCGGCGGUACUGGGAGUGGUUGGUGAGGGUCGCGAGGCUGCCUGAGCUUCUGAGUGAGCAUGGCGCUUUUGGAACGCGGGACUGGCGACCUGCUGCGCCAGGAGCUGGGCCGAGGCGCGGCGGCGCGGCUGCUGGCUGCCCUCUGGAUGGGAAGUUACCGCGAAGUCCAACCCAGCCUUUCCGAGGCAAUCUGAAGGCAAAUCCUGUUUCGACCCAGGCGAAGGUUCCUGGUGAUCCAGGGUCUCACCAGCCGAUUGUCCCUUCCUGUCCUCCUGAGGGUGUCUGGAGCUUCAUUGUUGUGUGCUCUUGGCCUCCAUGCUGGGGUGCCACCGACUCCCACUGUCCAGAGCUUCCGGUGGACUCUCCGAGGCACUGA